UACGGAGGGUGCAAGCGUUAAUCGGAAUCACUGGGCGUAAAGCGCGCGUAGGCGGUCUUUUAAGUCGGACGUGAAAGCCCUCGGCUCAACCGGGGAACUGCGUUCGAAACUGGGAGACUUGAGUCCUGGAGAGGGUGGCGGAAUUCCGGGUGUAGGAGUGAAAUCCGUAGAUAUCCGGAGGAACACCGGUGGCGAAGGCGGCCACCUGGACAGGUACUGACGCUGAGGCGCGAAAGCGUGGGGAGCAAACAGGAUUAGAUACCCUGGUAGUCCACGCUGUAAACGAUGGAUGCUAGGUGUCGGGGAGCGAUCUUCGGUGCCGCAGUUAACGCAUUAAGCAUCCCGCCUGGGGAGUACGGUCGCAAGGCUGAA
RNAcentral lists this ribosomal RNA (372 nucleotides) under uncultured bacterium. RNAcentral's name for it is "bacterial SSU rRNA". It matches the Rfam family "Bacterial small subunit ribosomal RNA", at positions 524 to 898 of the family's 1533-position model. The record is from RNAcentral.